Molecule: transfer RNA, 72 nt
Filed under: Camelus bactrianus (Bactrian camel)
Lineage: Eukaryota; Metazoa; Chordata; Mammalia; Artiodactyla; Camelidae
Also listed under: 1 other name
Rfam family: tRNA
About the family: Transfer RNA (tRNA) molecules are approximately 80 nucleotides in length. Their secondary structure includes four short double-helical elements and three loops (D, anti-codon, and T loops).
Source: Rfam by way of RNAcentral
GAGGGCAUAGCUCAGUGGUAGAGUGCAUGCUUCACAUGCAUGAGGUCCUGGGUUCAAUCCCCAGUACCUCCA